UGGGGAAUAUUGCGCAAUGGGCGAAAGCCUGACGCAGCAACGCCGCGUGAGUGAUGAAGUAUUUCGGUAUGUAAACUUCGAAAGAAUAGGAAGAAUAAAUGACGGUACUAUUUAUAAGGUCCGGCUAACUACGUGCCAGCAGCCGCGGUAAUACGUAGGGACCAAGCGUUGUUCGGAUUUACUGGGCGUAAAGGGCGCGUAGGCGGCAAUUCAAGUCAUCUGUGAAAUCUCCGGGCUUAACUCGGAACGGUCAGAUGAUACUGCUUUGCUAGAGUGCAGAAGGGGCAAUCGGAAUUCUUGGUGUAGCGGUGAAAUGCGUAGAUAUCAAGAGGAACACCUGAGGUGAAGACGGGUUGCUGGGCUGACACUGACGCUGAGGCGCGAAAGCCAGGGGAGCAAACGGGAUUAGAUACCCUGGUAGUCCCUGAGCGGGCUGGCAAGGCGCAU
Molecule: ribosomal RNA, 447 nt
Filed under: uncultured bacterium
Lineage: Bacteria
Description: bacterial SSU rRNA
Rfam family: Bacterial small subunit ribosomal RNA
Source: RNAcentral